Pseudopipra pipra is the source of this 6358-nucleotide long non-coding RNA. RefSeq lists it as uncharacterized. Lineage: Eukaryota; Metazoa; Chordata; Aves; Passeriformes; Pipridae. The record is from RefSeq and is a predicted model, not a curated record. The transcript has 11 exons.
CAUCUUUGAAACUUGAUUUCUAUAUUUGCACCACAGUAGUGAAUUAUUUGCAUAUUCAUUAACUAAAGGUUAACUUUUGUUGAUUUCCUAAACCCUAAAGAAUAGAGUCUGAACCUUCAAUUUUGCAGGUGUCUGAAGCUCUGCAGAACUGACAUUGAUAAGCUCUAUCAUCUUGAAAACAAGCUCUCUUGUAGCUUUCAUCAGAGAGAAUCUUUCCUUUAUGUGGAAAAUGGGAGCCAAGAACAAUUCUUGUACCUAGGAAAGGGCUGGAGACAGAGGCUUAUUGAAUUGCAGUGUGAGAUGAGGAAUGGCAAAAAGAAGAUCCUGAUUGGCUCAAAUUCUGCAUCUCAGCAGCCAGGAGGUAUGGGCAAUAAAUCCUGAAUGCAGACAAGGGGUACUUAAGAUCAGGAAUCUCAGCCCGCAGGAUGAACCAAGAAGCUGGAGACAGCUGAAGUUUGCCAAGAUUCAGAGGAGCACAACAGCAUGCCAGACCCUUGCUGGAUUUGAGUCUAUCAGCCUGAUACAUAUCAGAGGGACUGCCAUCCACAAUUAUCAAGACAGCUAUGUACUUUCUUCAAGGUUAGGAGAUGGACCAGACGAAUAUAUUAGGUGGCUGAAAUCCCUGAAGCUGUGACAAAGUGUACAGGUUAUUACAAGCUUUGGUGGCUAGCUUCUUUGGCUAAUGGGUUACACAGUGAACUGCCUGAAUCUGUUACAUGUCUGUGAAUACUGUUUCCCUAGAUUGCAAUACCAGCCCAAUUCUUUGGUCUGCUGGAAGUCAUCCUAAGAGAUUACUUGACAUCGGCCUCAGGAACGCCUUGUGGAACUUCAGCACUCAGAUCUUACUCCAUCAUCACAGCCUUGCAGAGAGGGGUGGAUGGCUGCAUCUGGGAGUCCAUCUAAAGUCAAACCGCCCACCACCUCAUCUUUCAUCAGAGUCAGCAGGGAGCACAGGAUGUAAUUGUUGUGCAUUCUCUGAAUGGCAGCCCCCAAGAAUUCCCCCCAAGAUGAUCUAGUGGAGACCAGUGUGUGUCAGGAAGAGAAUACUUACCAGAGAUCUUAGGAAGACCCACCUGACAGGAAUGAUGGUGAGAAGUCUCAACUGUGUCCACUAGAAACAAGAACAAAUGAUGGAAAGGAGUGGAAGACAUGAACUUCCAUGACUAACAACUGCACUACCUGCACAGAUUUCUGCUACUUGAGCUAAUAGAGUGCCAGUACCAGCCAUGGGUUGUCAUCCUCUGAGUAAAGCACUCCCAGAAGAAGAUUGCUGAUGGUCCCUGGUGAGAAACACAAACUGAGGUUUUGCUUGUUGGCUGGGGUGACAGGUAAUCAGAUGGAUUCCAGAUAUAAGGUAACCCACUGUGUCUCCUCCAGCCUCUUGCCAUCCUUGUCCUUUGCUUUCCCCACUUCAUCCCAGGACCCCACAUUCUCCUACAGGAAGUCACAGUAGAUCCCAGCUCCUGAUCUCCCAAUCUGGUUAGCUGUUUGCUCAUUCCCCAGUAUUACACUCUUUGCUUCCAAUCUACCUGGCUGGACCACCCUACCUCCCCAAUUCUUCCUCCUGACCCCAUUCCUCAUCUAGCACAGCUUUGGGAUCCAGUAUAUCUGCCUGAGAAUUUCUUCACAGUGCAUUUGAAUAACUGUCUUCUGUACUCUUGAUUUGGACAUCUAGGAUGCUGGGACCAGAGCAGGGCAGACCCCUGCUUUCCUUUUGGUUGCCUAGACCUCUUACAGCUUAUGGUAGCAGAUGCCUAUCCAUAGCAAAUGAGACCUUUUAGGAAAGUUUGCUGUUGAAACCAAAGUCAUCUUUAUUAAACAUGCACCAUGAGUUUUCACAUACUUAUUUAAUGAGGAUAAAACCAACAUGUCAUUGACACAAAAGCUGUCUUCUAUCAGAUUUUAAGUCCUUGCACCAAAUUUGCAAGAUUUAUCUUUUGUCACAGAAGACACCAGAAUUUUUAACUGCAGCACAUUUUCCCUACAGCCUGACAGACACGUCAGACGUGUCUGAGUUGUUUUACGCUAGUUUCCCUUGGGAAUGUGUGUCAAGUAAAAAGUCCUGAACUAUACAAUUUCUUAUUGUUUAGACAAGACAAAAACAUUAAUAAAUUUAAUCUCAGAAAAAGCAUUCUAAUAUCUUUAGUGGCCACUAUGCAGACUUUCAUUCCUUAGAGAAGAUAAGGCAUGUCCUCGCAAACAAGAAAAAUUAGAUCCUGAUGUGCCAAGGCCUAUGCUCUAAGUAGUUCAAGGUGAUCAGUGUACAGUUCAGAUUGUUACAUAAAACAAUUUGCAAAGAUCAGUAAAAAUUAAACAAAAAAUGACAGCUUUUUCAAGAAAACAAGACCCAGUGAUAAGCCCCAAGGACUAUGCUGAAAUCAUGUGCAGUAAAGAUGAAAAACGUGAGACUAGACUCAGUGGGACUGUGGCAGAGUAGUAGAGAGAAGACUCUUGGUCAAGUGUGAGAAGUAUGACACUGAUUAUGUGGAUUAUUAUACUUAGAUUCAUUGCUAAUACAGUAUCUAAAUAUUGCCAAUGCAGUGUAUAAUAUGAUCAGAUCUAAGGGGUUAUAACACAACCAGGUUCAACUGGAAACGUGCAGGUUUAGAGCCUUUGGCCUUGCAGAAAGCACAAUUACAAAGCAGCAAAGCACCUGCGGAGCUACUUUAGGAUUUUAUCUCUGUAUAUGGCUGGAUCUUAGUGCUUUUACUCAACCAUCCAAAAGUGAGUGUUCCCAUUUUAGGGCUGGAUAUACACUCCAGGCAUCCCUGCUAGGGUGGGAUUCAUCUGGAAGCUGUCUGCAACCUUGGGAAAUCAAUUGGCCUAGUCCACAGCUGCAUUUUAUACCCUUUCACAGGCCAAUGUGUAUCAAAGUCAAUGACAAUCAUCACAGCUCCCCCAUCCCUGGAAUGCAUUAAUUAUGUGAGCAUCCAGACAGUUCCUCCUGCAAUUCCGACCUGGUCUUCUUAUCUUGGGACAAAUCACAUUACCUAUCUGAGACUGCAAGGGAGAGGGGGGGUGUGAGGGCAGGAUGUGCUUUCUGUUUAAGAAAAACUUUCUUGAGAUAUUCUUGAGAUAUUCUUGAGAUGUCCUUUGGAGAGCUACCAAGACACUGUUAAUAAACAGCUUCCAAAAAGCUGUGUUAGAGACAGCAGGAUGUUGCUGCAGUUUCCAUGUGUCUGUGUGACCAACAGACAAUAUGCUGUCCUGGAAUUCUUCUAGCAGUGAAUUUGCUGUUCAGCGCCAGCACCACAGAGAGAGGUUGAGUUUCCUUCCCCUGCAGCUCUGGUGCCCAUACUGCCUGCCUCUCCAGGGAAUGACUGGACUCCAACAACAGGUCUGGCAGAAGUUCCAGCCCAUGUCAGUGAACUGAAUAACUCUCUCUUCUGAAAUAAAAAAUCCAAUACUUUUUGAUUCUUACUGUGUCUUUAAGACUGUUAAGCAAUGGUAUUUUCCUCACAUAGACUUUUAACAGGAAACCAAAAUUGGAUUUUUUUUAAAAAAUGAAAGCCUUACUUUUCUUAAUUCUGAAUAUUUUUAUUCUUUUUCCCCCCUUGUUUUUUUCUAUCUUUAAUAAAGGGUUUAAAAGAUUUGGUGUGGCUUAUGUUGCCACAGGAAUAAACAAGCAUUUGAAAUCUCAAACUCUAUCCAAAACUUGUUUAGCAAUAUAGUUUUGUUACAGUGACACAGCACCUUUAAUUCAUUUGACCCUCUGGAUCUGUUUAUUCUACUGAAAUUUGACUCAGCAAGGUUAAAUCCCCUUAUAUCAUUCUGCAAGACAACUCAUUUUAUGUUUGGAUACAAACAGCCAAAGCUGCACAAUCAACUCGCCCCCAACAUGCCAGUUUGCACUAGUGUGGCUGAAUGGAAAAAGAAAUUGUGGUGGCUUUAUAGAAAUGUACCUAAUUUCUAUGGGAUACUCAGUGAAUAUCAGAACAAUAGAUGGUGUAUUAACUACUAUGUCUGCUCUUUUUCCUUGGCAUAGGUAAUAUUUUUAUGUAAGGGGAUGGCAGCCUCCUCUCGUUAUAUUAAGCAAAAUUCUUCAACGGAUACCACGAAGUAAUAAUUUUUUUUUUUUUUAGCUUAUUUUUACUUGGUUUUUAGGAAACUGUUCUGUAAUAGCAAGCUCUGGAACAAAAUCUAAAAAACAGGGCAUUUUUUGUGUUUGAAAUGUCUCUCCAUAUGAUUGCAAAUAAUAAAAUUAUGGAAAUAUCUUAUUCUCCAGUUACUCUAUAUCAUCCAAUCAGCAUGAUUUACUCUUCCCUCUUGCUAUAUACUUUUGUGUGCAGAUUUUAUUGUGUCUCUGUUUUGGUUUUAAUAUUUAUAUGUAUUUAUUAACAAGCAAAACAGAGAGCAACCAGUUUUUUAAGGAUGUACUGGAGUGAACCACUACAGGCAAGUUAUAUUUAUUUCCACGUUCAGGAUAUGGAAGGCUAGCAAGGGAUACCUCUUUGCACCUAAAUAUUUUAAGUCCACUGGAAAAGAAUUACAGGUUGGUCAAAUAAGGUUUUUCUUAUCUUUUUUUUUCCUUUCACCCCCAUUUUGUGUUAAGCAUUAGAAUCUGUUAAAAACAGCCCAUUACCUUAAGCCUUAAAGCAGUUCUUUCCCUGUUGCAGAGAAAUCUGCUUGAAAUGUGUUCUGCCUUUAUGAUCUCCAGGCUCUAGCCUGGCCAAACAGAUGGAGUGUUUCUACCUGGGCUGUCACUUUGUUUUCCUCUUCUCAUUGAGCUAAACCUUGCUCCUAUGCAACCUGAGGGGAAGGACUUUUAACACAACGUGAAACAACAUCCUUGGCUGAGCAGGUUACAGAGAGAGCCCAAAAGCUCUCGGUACUCUUCAGUUCCAAUACACCAGCUCUCAUGGAACCCAAAGUGUAGGUGCACAUCUGCCUUGUUCCCUUCCACUGCCUGAUUACAGCAUUUCCAGCCUCUGCCAAAGAUGGUGAUGUUCACAGGACUGCAGCCUGAAGAAGGAAGGACUGAAAUCCUGCUUUCACCAAGACCAACGCGUACAUGAGAGGCAAUCACCGGUUCCUUAACAGAAGUGAAAAAGAAUGCACUUUUGGUCCUGGACUGUUCUUUGUAAUUUAAUGUGAUCUGCUGUCAACAAGAGGCAAAAUAAACCUCUGACACUCGCUAAAGUUUCACACUACAGAAGUGAAAAGAUAUGACCCGGGACUUCCUUUCCAUGUACAUUCACCUACUACCUUCGCUACUGAUGCUGAUACUGGCUCACCGGGAUCAUCAUUUGCAACAGAGUAUGUUUGGCUCCUUCUCAGGUGAUCUUUGUAUUGCUAUUUUCCUGUGUUGACACCUAUUGGAGAAACGGUUUAUACUAGUUUCAGAAACCAUCUCAUUUGAUGAUCUUAUGACUUGCUACAGUAAGUAACACAAAUGUGUUACUUACUGUAUUUCCACAGUUUUCAUCUAUUAAAACUAAUCAAACAUGCUUCAGUUACUGCCUGUUUCCCCACAUACCCUUUCUAAUGGUGUUUUUGACACUUUUUUGCCUUAGAGAACCUGUAGCAUCCUCCUUAGCUUUAAUUCUGGAACCCGUUUCAUCAUUCACACUUGCAUGUUCUCAGCAUGUUAGCUCCUGUCACAAGGAAUUGUUAGUACAUGAUCAUAAGGUGUUGGAUAUCCCAACCAAUGUGUGUGGGAUCAGAGAAGAGAGGACAACAGGGUGUUAUCCUACCACUUGGUGAAUCUUAGCAAAGGGAGAGAGGCAGCUGGGCUGAGAGGAAGAAGGUGUGCUUCAGGAUAUUCCUUCUGGUGGCAUUUUUUCCCUACAUGUAGGCAGAUCAAGGGUUGAGAAUGCAUGGCAUGUGUCUUCCAUUGAUAUUCUUAAGCAGGGAAUGACAUUUAUCUCUUUUCAAUUCCUCAUUGUAAAGCUAAAUCUGCUCCUCUACCCCAAAACAACCUGUAGUAUUGUUCUCCUGUUAUCAUGAUAAAUUAUGGAUGUGAGACAUGCUGAAUCAUGACAAUGCUCCUUGUGCUGAAGAAAUUCCUCUUUUGUCAUGUACAGCUUUUUUAUAGUCCUAUUUAUUGUGGGACCAAUGUUAGAGUCCUGAUGGGGUUGCAAGGAAGCAGGAAGUGCACUAGCUGCUCUGGGAUUUUAAGCACAGACAUCUCGAAUAUUCUGAGGAGUUUGUAUCAGUUUAUGAUUGACCAGCAACCAAUGUGUAAGCAGUGCUUUGUGUCUGCAUGCAUACUUCGUAAGUCACAGAAUCUGUUUGGUUUGGAAGGGACGUUAAAGAUUGUCUGCUUCCACCCAGCUCUGCCAUGAGCAGGGACAUCUUCCAAUAAACCAGGUUGCUCAAAGCCCCAUCCGACCCGGCUUCGAACACUUCCAGGGAUGGG